AAUAACUCUGCUCACUGAUACUGCUUCUCCAUAUUUCAAACUGUUUCUUCUCUUCCAAAGUUCUCAUACAAUGCAUGCAGGAAGUAAUUCCAAACACUCCUAGCUGCAUUGGAUGUGAAGAACAAAUGUACUAAUGACUCCUCCUUAGGAUCAGCACAGCACCAACAUUUUGAUGGCAUGGAGUAUCCUAUUUUACGCAAGAAAUCAUCAAAUGGCAGUUUGGCUUUCCACACCUUCCAAAUGAAGAAGGAUAUCUUGAAAGAAUGGUGUAUCUAACUCUGCACAUUCGUUUGGUGGUCUAAUAUUCUGCACAAUGUGGUUUGCCAAAUCUUCAGGCACUUGGAAAUAUAAGGCUCCCAGCUCAGUCCAAUUGUCGAACCAUAAUUGAGCUGAUCCCAUUCUCGGUUUCCAGUAUAUUUGAUGCUCAAUCAAGUCCCUACAUUCUAGCAUUUUUCUCCACACGCGGGAUCCACGCUUCUAAGAAUAGUGCCUUGGAUACAUCAUAUAGGGACCUGAAGCCUAUGCCUCCCUCCUCAUAAGGCAUGCAAAGCUCUGCCUCCUACAGAUAGGAGUUUGCCUUUCCACGACAGCAGUUUGUCCAUGACCUUAGUGAUUGAUCCCUGGUAUAUGGCAGAUUUGGCUUUGUUCACCAGUUGAUCAGACGAUGAUUCAUAAGCUUGCAAAACCUCCAUGACAAGUCUCAGUGAAGUUUCAUCAGAUGAGGAGAAAAUGAUUGUAUCAUCAAUGUAUGAGAGAUGAUUUAUUUUUGGGCUCCAUUUUGGCAUUCCAAAUCCACAGAAAUACAGGAUUGACUUCAAAUUGCCUUUCAUGAACCAAGACCACCUCCUCCAGGCUUGUAAUCUUCUGGAAUAUAUCCCCAUAUGUAGCUCUGCUCCAGGUCUAGACAGACAGACGGGUAGACCUCCCCAGUAGGUGUUUGCCCGAGUUCAACUAUAUCGGUCCAGACAGAUAGACGGGUAGACCUCCUCAGUAGGUGUUUUCCCGAGUUCAGCUUUAUCAGUAAGCUCCCCAUCCUUCGGAGUUGCUGGGUCUAGAAGUUUAGUGUACAUCUUGUGUAUAUAUAUAGAUAGGUUAUGGGUAGGACGGAGCCCUGUUCCAAUCAUAGUAUAUCUACUAGUAGAGGCUUGUAGACAUAUCCUAUCAGUUAGUGCAGUAUGAUGGGCUUGUAGGCCCUAUACGUAUAUUUUGUUGGCUUGUCAGUUUUAGAAAUUAU
Molecule: long non-coding RNA, 1234 nt
Organism: Nicotiana tabacum (common tobacco)
Lineage: Eukaryota; Viridiplantae; Streptophyta; Magnoliopsida; Solanales; Solanaceae
Source: RefSeq, a predicted model, not a curated record